Molecule: ribosomal RNA, 262 nt
Filed under: uncultured bacterium
Lineage: Bacteria
Description: partial 16S ribosomal RNA
Rfam family: Bacterial small subunit ribosomal RNA
Source: RNAcentral
UGCCUACGGGGGGCAGCAGUGGGGAAUAUUGAACAAUGGGGGAAACCCUGAUGCGGCGACGCCGCGUGAGUGAAGAAGUAUUUCGGUAUGUAAAGCUCUAUCAGCAGGGAAGAAAAUGACGGUACCUGACUAAGAAGCCCCGGCUAACUACGUGCCAGCAGCCGCGGUAAUACGUAGGGGGCAAGCGUUAUCCGGAUUUACUGGGUGUAAAGGGUGCGUAGGUGGCAGGGCAAGUCAGAUGUGAAAGGCCGGGGCUUAACCC